RNAcentral lists this ribosomal RNA (253 nucleotides) under uncultured bacterium. RNAcentral's name for it is "partial 16S ribosomal RNA". It matches the Rfam family "Bacterial small subunit ribosomal RNA", at positions 524 to 776 of the family's 1533-position model. The record is from RNAcentral.
UACAGAGGUCCCAAGCGUUGUUCGGAUUCACUGGGCGUAAAGGGUGCGUAGGUGGUCGGGUAAGUCUGAUGUGAAAUCUCCGAGCUCAACUCGGAAAUGGCAUUGGAUACUAUUCGGCUAGAGGAGUGGAGGGGGGACUGGAAUACUUGGUGUAGCAGUGAAAUGCGUAGAUAUCAAGUGGAACACCAGUGGCGAAGGCGGCAUCCUGGACCGGCAUUGACGCUGAGGAGCGAAAGCCAGGGGAGCAAACGGG